Molecule: ribosomal RNA, 253 nt
Filed under: uncultured bacterium
Lineage: Bacteria
Description: partial 16S ribosomal RNA
Rfam family: Bacterial small subunit ribosomal RNA
Source: RNAcentral
UACGUAGGGUGCAAGCGUUAAUCGGAAUUACUGGGCGUAAAGCGUGCGCAGGCGGUUCUAUAAGACAGAUGGGAAAUCCCCUGGCUCAACCUGGGAACUGCAUUUGUGACUGUAGAGCUGGAGUGCGGCAGAGGGGGAUGGAAUUCCGCGUGUAGCAGUGAAAUGCGUAGAUAUGCGGAGGAACACCGAUGGCGAAGGCAAUCCCCUGGGCCUGCACUGACGCUCAUGCACGAAAGCGUGGGGAGCAAACAGG